CAGUAGCCGCGGGAAUACAGAGGGUGCGAGCGUUAAUCGGAUUUACUGGGCGUAAAGCGUGCGUAGGCGGCUAAUUGAGUCGGAUGUGAAAUCCCCGAGCUUAACUUGGGAAUUGCAUUCGAUACUGGGAAGCUAGAGUAUGGGAGAGGAUGGUAGAAUUCCAGGUGUAGCGGUGAAAUGCGUAGAGAUCUGGAGGAAUACCGAUGGCGAAGGCAGCCAUCUGGCCUAAUACUGACGCUGAGGUACGAAAGCAUGGGGAGCAAACAGGAUUAGAUACCCCUGUAGUCCCUGUCUCUUAUAC
This 301-nucleotide ribosomal RNA is filed under the name uncultured bacterium. RNAcentral's name for it is "partial 16S ribosomal RNA". It matches the Rfam family "Bacterial small subunit ribosomal RNA", at positions 509 to 807 of the family's 1533-position model. The record is from RNAcentral.